UCACCCCUCAAGCCCUGUGCUUGGUGUUGGACGGCCGGUCGAGCGAUCGACCCCUCCUAAAGACAAUGACGGCGGCCUGUGGUUCCCCCGGUACACUGAGCUUUUCACCGAGCACGUAUCGGACAAGGGCACCCGGGACCCGGUCCUCUCCUUUCACAAAAGGAAACUUUCUAU
This 174-nucleotide unclassified non-coding RNA is filed under the name Cladophialophora chaetospira. RNAcentral describes it as "partial internal transcribed spacer 2". RNAcentral also lists the same sequence under 1 other name. The record is from RNAcentral. Lineage: Eukaryota; Fungi; Ascomycota; Eurotiomycetes; Chaetothyriales; Herpotrichiellaceae.